RNAcentral lists this long non-coding RNA (702 nucleotides) under Balaenoptera musculus (blue whale). RNAcentral describes it as "lncRNA (ENSBMSG00010010434.1)". The record is from RNAcentral. Lineage: Eukaryota; Metazoa; Chordata; Mammalia; Artiodactyla; Balaenopteridae.
GCAAAAAUACUAAACACAAGAGGGAGAAGGCCACCGCUCUAGCCUGAGACAUCCCCAGCUGGUGGGGCGGUGUCGGACCACGGAGAGCCGCGCCUGCGCACUACAGACUCCGAAGCCAGGGCGACCUCAGGGAGGUGGGCGGGACUGCCCGGGCAUCCGGGUCCCUCACCCCGCCCCCGCUGCAUGAAUGAGAGGCCCGGCGCCCGCCCCUCCCCCUCCGGGCCCGCCCCUCGCCGGGGCGCCGCGGGCAGUCUGCCGCUGCCACCUCAGCCCCGCUCGGUGCCGACUGACGCCCGCCGCUCACCACCCGGAGCUGACGGUCCCAACACGGUCGCCGCCGCCGCUGCCGGCACGACAGAAUUACCCCACAUGAUAGAUGAUCUGCAGUUGACAGAUGAGCACCCUAUAGCACUUCCCAGCAGUUUGGUCAUUUGAGAAAUCAUUUUGGUCACUUGAUAAAAUAUUUUUAUUUCAAGCCAAGUUCUGUUCUUUGUUUAUUUGGCUUGCCCAGAGGUAAGGCUCCUUCUGCAUGUUAAUUCAUGUUAUUCCUCAUUAAGUUCUCUUAUUUCUGGAAAUGGAACUUUUAAAACACCCAGUAUGUCAUCAAUAGAUUUUUUUAAAGUGGCCAUAAGAUACUGUUCUUUUCACUUACUAGCUAGCUGGGAAGAUAAAUAUAUGUAGCAAUACAAAAUCCACUCCAAG